This 460-nucleotide ribosomal RNA is filed under the name Mycobacterium kumamotonense. RNAcentral describes it as "Mycolicibacter kumamotonensis bacterial SSU rRNA". It matches the Rfam family "Bacterial small subunit ribosomal RNA", at positions 946 to 1406 of the family's 1533-position model. Lineage: Bacteria; Bacillati; Actinomycetota; Actinomycetes; Mycobacteriales; Mycobacteriaceae. The record is from RNAcentral.
UUAAUUCGAUGCAACGCGAAGAACCUUACCUGGUCUUGACAUCCACAGAACUUUCCAGAGAUGGAUUGGUGCCUUCGGGAACUGUGAGACAGGUGCUGCAUGGCUGUCGUCAGCUCGUGUUGUGAAAUGUUGGGUUAAGUCCCGCAACGAGCGCAACCCUUAUCCUUUGUUGCCAGCGGUUAGGCCGGGAACUCAAAGGAGACUGCCAGUGAUAAACUGGAGGAAGGUGGGGAUGACGUCAAGUCAUCAUGGCCCUUACGACCAGGGCUACACACGUGCUACAAUGGCAUAUACAAAGAGAAGCGACCUCGCGAGAGCAAGCGGACCUCAUAAAGUAUGUCGUAGUCCGGAUUGGAGUCUGCAACUCGACUCCAUGAAGUCGGAAUCGCUAGUAAUCGUAGAUCAGAAUGCUACGGUGAAUACGUUCCCGGGCCUUGUACACACCGCCCGUCACACCAUG